Long non-coding RNA from Gadus morhua (Atlantic cod), 1538 nucleotides. NCBI's taxonomy places the organism in Eukaryota, Metazoa, Chordata, Actinopteri, Gadiformes, Gadidae. The record is from Ensembl.
UCCUUCUUCUUCAUUAUUCUAUACAAACUUUUUAGAGACAGAAUUUCAUCAAUCCCUUUUGAUUAAUUUUAAAUGCUAAAUGGGAGGGGAUGAGACGGUGAUGUUGACAUCCAUUACAUUACCAUAUAAGGCUUGUUUUGAGAGGUUCUGAGAUCCAUGGUCUCCUUGACGACAGCAUCACUGCCUCAUUCAAGCGAGACGCCACGCGGACUGACUCACGCACGCUGCACGAAGUUGUCUUUGCUAGUUGUUGCUAAUUGUUGCUAAUUAAUCGUGGGUUGAUCAUUAUAUCUACUUGACUGUACUUGUCGAAGAGGAAAGCAAACAUGGGUGGCUGUUGCUCCAGACAGCCUGCCAUGGAGGAAGAUGGAGGAGAACCUGACCACCGCCCGGCCCCUUCUGUGGUUGCAUCGCUGCCUCAGAAGAAACCCUCUUUUUUCCCCACUUUCCCAUCCCUCCCCUCUUCUCGUUUCAACCCCACUGCAUCUCUACCCUCUUCUCGUUCCUCCCCCACUGCAUGCCUCCCCUCUUCUUGUGUCUCCCCCACUACAUCUCUCCUCUCUUCUCGUUUCUCCCCCACUACAUCCCUCCCGUAUUCUUGUGUCUCCACCACUACAUGCCUUCCAACUUCUCGCGUCUCCCCGACUACAUCUUCCCCCUCUUCUCGUUUCACCCCCACUACAUGUCUCCCCUCUUCUUGUGUCUCCCCUAAUACUUGCCUCCCCUCUUCUUGUGUCUCCCCCGCUACAUGUCUCCCCUCUUCUUGUGUCUCCCCCAAUACAUGCCUCCCCUCUUCUUGUGUCUCCCCCACUACAUGCCUCCCCUCUUCUUGUGUCUCCCCAACUACAUGUUUCCCCACUUCUUGUGUCUCCCCCACUGCAUCCAUCUCCUCUUCUCGUGUCUCCCCCACUACAUGUCUCCCCUCUUCUUGUGUCUCCCCCACUAAAUGCCUCCCCUCUUCUUGUGUCUCCCCAACUACAUGUUUCCCCACUUCUUGUGUCUCCCCCACUACAUCCAUCUCCUCUUCUCGUGUCUCCCCCACUACAUGCCUCCCCUCUUCUUGUGUGUCCCCCACUACAUGCCUCCCCUCUUCUUGUGUCUUCCCGACUACAGCUCUCCCCUAUUCUUGUGUCUCCCCCACUACAUCCCUCCCUGUUUCUCAUCACCCCGCCUCUCUCUUCUCGUCCCCAUCCUCCCCUGUUCCGUUCCCUGUUCCUGUUCUUCUGUCCUCUGGUAUCUCCCCAAUAACUGUGUCUCUUUCUCCCUCCCCCCCCUCCUCUCUCUCUCCAACAGGAAUCCUGGACCUUCCAGAUGUCAUCACCCCCAGCAGCAGAGAUGUCUCCUCCCCACCAGGACGGUCAUCAGAUGUCGGUGAGCAGAGCAGCAAAGGGACCUCAGAGGACACCACCCUGCCUGAUGAGGAUGUACUGGGGAAUCAAAUGGUACCUGCAGUAGCUGGGAGUGAGCUCAAUGAGGUGGACCCCACUGGGCCUCCUGCCCAGACAACAGGUACUUUGAAGCAGUCCUCCAUUGAGUAG